RNAcentral lists this ribosomal RNA (468 nucleotides) under uncultured bacterium. RNAcentral's name for it is "partial 16S ribosomal RNA". It matches the Rfam family "Bacterial small subunit ribosomal RNA", at positions 28 to 507 of the family's 1533-position model. The record is from RNAcentral.
GACGAACGCUGGCGGCGUGCUUAACACAUGCAAGUCGAACGGAAAGGCCCUGCUUUUGUGGGGUGCUCGAGUGGCGAACGGGUGAGUAACACGUGAGUAACCUGCCCUUGACUUUGGGAUAACUUCAGGAAACUGGGGCUAAUACCGGAUAGGAGCUCCUGCUGCAUGGUGGGGGUUGGAAAUUUUCGGCGGUUGGGGAUGGAUUCGCGGCUUAUCAGCUUGUUGGUGGGGUAGUGGUUUACCAAAGCUUUGACGGGUAGCCGGCCUGAGAGGGUGACCGGGCGCAAUGGGACUGAGGUACGGCGCAGACUCCUACGGGGGGCAGCAGUGGGAAAUAUUGCACAAUGGGCGGAAGCCUGAUGCAGCAACGCCGGGUGCGGGAUGACGGCAUUCGGGUUGUGAACCGCUUUCGCCUGUGACGAAGCGUGAGUGACGGUAAUGGGUAAAGAAGCACCGGCUAACUACGUG